GCCAGAGCUCAGUGAGGGUCCAGGAAAGCAGACAAAAGAAUCUUUAUCUCCUGCCAUUGGACAGUGGAGGCACUGAACUUUCCAGUAGGGGAGCUACAUGAUCAGAGGCAUUUCAGAAAUUUUAAUCUCACACUGAAGUGCUAGACAUAUUGGAAGCAGGAGGAAAAACAGGAAGCAGCAGGGAGGCUGGAAAGGAAACGGAGUUCAUGAGCCAGGUGUCAGAUGCUCCAGGCUCAUCUGGCAUAUUUACAUUUCCUUGGCAGAAGAAUUUUGGUGGAUGAAGAAACUAAAGAAUAGCCAGGCCAGGCUCACUCCUGUUGGGAGGUUGAAGAUCUUUGUGACUAAGA
Molecule: long non-coding RNA, 347 nt
Filed under: Callithrix jacchus (white-tufted-ear marmoset)
Lineage: Eukaryota; Metazoa; Chordata; Mammalia; Primates; Cebidae
Description: lncRNA (ENSCJAG00000074772.1)
Source: RNAcentral